CUUCCACGUUAAUAAGGAGUUGGUGGACACUUUCAUCAGACCGGAAAGUGUGUCCGUGUCAGAGGCCACGGCCAGUGCAAGAAAAGACGUUUGACGGUGGAAGGAAACGACAUCGAGGUUUGUCAGAUAACGUUGGGGCAGCAAGGAUAUGCUGAUCACACCAUCGGAUUGCCGACACUAUGCAACGAUGGAAGUGUCCUGGGGUGGCAGUUCUGGUGACAGCUGUAACCAAACAGAAGGGAGGUCUGCACAGGUCCGUCUCAACGAAAAUUGAGGCCUCUCCUGCAAUGUGUUCAAUCAUCUGCCGAUGUAUCAGUAUCUAGUGUGCUGCCAAGAGAGAAAUGAUAUCGUCGAGUGUUCCACGUGGUGGCGUACACAGGCCUUCCGUUCAAGCGGCAGGGGCGAAAAUUAGAGAUAAAUCUGGGCAUACACACCCCCUUCCUGCACCCCUUCAGAUACGCAGGUGGUUCCAGGGCAACGUCGUAAAACAGUGUCAUGGCUGCCCAAAAUAUCGGAUGGACAGCAGCCGGGCCAGAUGUAAGCAAGGGAUACUCUGCCCAAACCUCAUGGGCUUGAAAGGGAAGCAUCUAAGCGCAAGAUGGGAAAAUCUAAAGUGAGCAGAUUUAUACGGCCAGCAUCAUGUUGCCCCCCCCCCCCCCCACCUCGAGCUCCCUUAAUACUGCCUACGAGUUACGACAAUCUGCCAGUUUGAAGAUCCAGCAAAAAAUCAGGCCAGGAAUUCCUUUUUGCCGAUCAUACACCAAUCCGAUUCGACUAGUGUUCGUAUUUUGAUUCGUAUGAUACUAAACGCGUAUUUAAGCCAUCUCGCGUCUUAUAAACCCGAGUUUGAAAGAGCAAAACCUUUGGCUUUGGUAUAUUGUUGAAGUUGAAUUUGAUAUACCUUCAUUAAUUACGAUAACUUCUACCGACAAAAAUUGCUUGAUGUCCCGUUUUGUAGUUGUCAUGGUAGAUGCAGCUGUUUAUGGUUUUAAGCGUUUUACUUUAAACAUAUCUUAAGGCUUUUUAUGAUCAUUUUGUUGUUGUCUAAACCUGCAAUUUGAGUUCUUUAAAAAAGGGAUGAUAAUUGUCUAGCGUUUUAAUAAUAUAUAACUUCUGAUAAUUCCUAUUUGAUUAAUACAUAGACUACUAAAGUAUGUUAUUCACAUAUAAAUGAUACAAGGCCCAUCCAUUCACAGUAGGCAAUGAGUAAAUACGAAUUAGGAAUAUAAUCUCUCACAUCAUAAAGAAAAGACCUG
Long non-coding RNA from Strongylocentrotus purpuratus (purple sea urchin), 1256 nucleotides. RefSeq lists it as uncharacterized. The transcript has 4 exons. NCBI's taxonomy places the organism in Eukaryota, Metazoa, Echinodermata, Echinoidea, Camarodonta, Strongylocentrotidae. The record is from RefSeq and is a predicted model, not a curated record.